This 465-nucleotide ribosomal RNA is filed under the name uncultured bacterium. RNAcentral describes it as "partial 16S ribosomal RNA". It matches the Rfam family "Bacterial small subunit ribosomal RNA", at positions 338 to 795 of the family's 1533-position model. The record is from RNAcentral.
CCUACGGGUGGCAGCAGUGGGGAAUAUUGCGCAAUGGGCGAAAGCCUGACGCAGCGACGCCGCGUGAGGGAUGAAGGUCUUCGGAGCGUAAACCCCCGUCAGCAGGGAAGAACGGUCACUGUGCUAAUCAGCAGUGAAUUGACGGUACCUGCAAAGGAAGCACCGGCUAACUCCGUGCCAGCAGCAGCGGUAAGACGGAGGGUGCGAGAGUUAAGCGGAAUUACUGGGCGUAAAGCGCUCGUAGGCGGUUUGUCAAGUCAAGGGUGAAAUCCCCGCGGUUAACGUGGGAACUGCCUUUGAAACGGGGAAACUGGAGUGUGUGAGAGGAUAGUGGAAUUCCAGGUGUAGGAGUGAAAUCCGUAGAUAUCUGGAGGAACAUCAGUGGCGAAGGCGACUAUCUGGCACAUAACUGACGCUGAGGAGCGAAAGCGUGGGUAGCAAACAGGAUUAGAUACCCGGGUAGUC